RNAcentral lists this long non-coding RNA (2153 nucleotides) under Homo sapiens (human). Its description in RNAcentral is "HSALNT0377585". The record is from RNAcentral. Lineage: Eukaryota; Metazoa; Chordata; Mammalia; Primates; Hominidae.
CAAUAAUAAAGCAAAUGACCAAGAAACAACUUUUAUAUUAAUCAGGAUUCGUUUUUAAGUUGAAGUGACCAAAAUACAACUCAAACUAACUCAAGCAAAAAAGAAAUAGGUACUGGGGAGAGGGGACAGUAGGGGAACAGGCUCCCACAUACUGAGAUCUGGGAACACAAAGGGAAGUUAUCAGGUCUCUCUCCCUCUCAGCUCUGCUUCUUUCAGUGUGGUGGCCUCAUUCUUUCUAACUGAAGAACGAUCUUUACUGCAGAAAAUUCUAAGCAUUAUUGUGGCAGAUCCAGUAAGUCCCAGAGAAGGAUUCUGAUUGGUCCUGCUUCAGUCACAUGCUUGCAUCUUAGUCCAAUCACUGUGGCCUGGAGGAUGGGACACCAUGAUUUGCAAGACUCUGGUCACAUGCCCACACCUGUGGCUUCUGAAGCAGAGCACCAGCAGUGACAGUCCCACCAGAACCGCAUGGAAUAGAAAACUGUGCAUUUCCCUAAGGAAAGGGAAUGCCAGAGAAGGGCAGAAGGGAAAUCAGGAAGACAAAACGGUAAAUUACCUACCACAAAUCCAAUUCAUUGGUAUUUUUCCACUUACACUUAACCAAGCAACGAUUUCUCCUGGUCCCAUAAUGGAAAAGAGGGUUUAUCUAGAUUCAUAUAUACAAGACUGAAGAGUGAAGAGAGACCCAGAGAAUGUUCUAAAAUCUGCCAGUUAGCAUAAUCACACAGAGAAAUCUCUGCUUCCAGAGGAGGAGCCAAGUUCAAGUCAGAGGUGAGGAAUGCCAACAGGAAAGCUCACUUUCUCCGGGGAUAUUCAGGCCAACACUAGGAAACCACAGCCAAGUCAGGCAGGGCUUGGGGCGGAACUGCUGACACCUCCACCCUAGCCAAUCCAAGGUGCACGCCUGCCUCAUGCAGCCCAGCGUGACUCCCGCCAUUGGCACACUGUGCCCAUCACAGGCUGGAGCUCCUUUCCUCCACCGUCUUCCCAACUCCUGCCAACCAGAACUUAACUACUCCUUUGGAUUCUGCUUUUCACUUGUUCUUCAUCAGACUAUGGAAGCUUAGACUUCAUAAUUUGGCUGAGACUUCAAAAAUAGUUUUAAAGAAAGCUAUUCCCACCCUGCUAAAUGUCUUCAUGUUGGAGUGGACCUUUCCUCUAUCUGUCAACAGAAUGGAUAAAUUGUGGAAGAGUAAUAUCAGAAUACUACACAUCAGUAAAAAACAACAAACUUCUGCUACAAACAAUCAACAUCGAUGAAUCUUUCAGGCAAAAGGGCAUCCAAAUGGAGGCUAAUGAGUGCAUCCCAAAAUGCUGGUCCAACAUGAUCAAUACAGACUCCUUGGCUGGAUUCUCAGAAAUAUGGAUUCCAAUGCAAAAGGUUAAUGCCUACAAUAAGUGUUCUUGAAAUACAGUCACGCGUUGCUUAACCAUGGGGAUAUAUUCUGAUAAAUUCAUCAUUAGGCGAUUUCAUCACUGGGCGAACAUCACAGCUCGUACUCACACAAACCUAGAUGUCAUAGCCUACUACACACCUAGGCUAUAUGAUAUAGGCUAUUGCUAGCAACAAACCUGUACAGCAUGUUACUGUCUUGAAUACUUAGGCAGCAGAGCACAAUGUUAUAGAAACAGAUGAUCAGUGGCCCACGGAUUCCAGGUGAGGAUCUGGGACCCAGACAUCCAGAUAUUGAAAACACAGGGAUGGAGUCUGUAUGGAAAAAAUUAAAAUAUAGCAAAAUGUGAAAUACGGAAGAGAAAUCUUUCAAUUUCCCAAUGGAAGUGAGAAAAGAGCAAAGAAAAGUAUUGGUCUUCCAAAACAAAUAGAGGACGGAGCUGCUGCUGUUGCAUGGUGUCUAGAAACUCAGACAACUUCAUCAUUCCAUAUUUGCAUCCAAGAGAGAGAAAGAAAAACUACAAUCAUUUUCCAUUUACCCAUCAACCCAUCAACCUCCAAAUAAAGGCUAUUAAAAAACAAUCAAAGUGUGAAGAGGGCAGAAAAUGUGAUGAAGAGAUUCUUUGGAGAAAGUAGCUGCCACUGUUACCUUGGGAUCUGCCUAUAGUCCUCACAGAGCUUGCCCUUGCAGGAUAGAACAUAGGAGUCUGGGAGUCUGCAAGAAGAGACAGGGUCUCACUAUGUUGCCCCAGUUGGCCUUGAA